Molecule: ribosomal RNA, 497 nt
Filed under: uncultured bacterium
Lineage: Bacteria
Description: partial 16S ribosomal RNA
Rfam family: Bacterial small subunit ribosomal RNA
Source: RNAcentral
GAUGAACGCUGGCGGCGUGCCUAAUACAUGCAAGUCGAGCGAACGGACGAGAAGCUUGCUUCUCUGAUGUUAGCGGCGGACGGGUGAGUAACACGUGGAUAACCUACCUAUAAGACUGGGAUAACUUCGGGAAACCGGAGCUAAUACCGGAUAAUAUUUUGAACCGCAUGGUUCAAAAGUGAAAGACGGUAUUGCUGUCACUUAUAGAUGGAUCCGCGCUGCAUUAGCUAGUUGGUAAGGUAACGGCUUACCAAGGCAACGAUGCAUAGCCGACCUGAGAGGGUGAUCGGCCACACUGGAACUGAGACACGGUCCAGACUCCUACGGGAGGCAGCAGUAGGGAAUCUUCCGCAAUGGGCGAAAGCCUGACGGAGCAACGCCGCGUGAGUGAUGAAGGCCUUCGGAUCGUAAAACUCUGUUAUUAGGGAAGAACAUAUGUGUAAGUAACUGUGCACAUCUUGACGGUACCUAAUCAGAAAGCCACGGCUAACUACGUG